Molecule: long non-coding RNA, 1619 nt
Organism: Tympanuchus pallidicinctus (lesser prairie-chicken)
Lineage: Eukaryota; Metazoa; Chordata; Aves; Galliformes; Phasianidae
Exons: 3
Source: RefSeq, a predicted model, not a curated record
GGGGGGGUUGAGCAAGGGGGAGCGGGGUAGGGAGCCUCCUCCCAAGCCCUGUGGCCAGGCCCCGGCGAGAGAACAGCCAGCCCCCGGGUGCCGCAGCGCUUCUCCCGGCGUUGUCCCGGAGGACUAAGAAAGUGGAGACGGUGCCCUCGUGCCGACCCCGCUGAUACUAUCCUCCAAAAUGAAACGGUGGGAGAACAAGGCCUGCCCGCGAGGUAAGGGCAGGGCCUGCUUCCUCCACCUACAAGGCUCUGGCGGUAAGCAGAGGGAACGAGCUGGCGGGGUGGGGGGGGGGGUCGGAACAAAAACGUCCAGAGCCGCCGUGGCCGCUCCUGUGAUGCCGCUUCAGCCGUGUGCGUUUGCCCCUUUGUUCCCGGCUCCAGGACGGACCGAGGAAGGACGGGACGCGGUACCCAGCUGGGCGGCUCCGAGGUCGGCUCCGCUCGGCUGGGGCGAACCUGCGGGCAGCCGUGCCCCGUAGGCGUGAUGCCCUCCAGUGGCAGCCGUGUGUGCUGGCGUGCUGAACCGAGGGGAGUGGGAGGAGUGCUCCGAAGUGCUUCGUGUCUCUGGAUGCAAAGAUAUUUCUGUUGCUGCCUUAGCAGUCUCAUAUGCCAUCCCUGGUGAUGACCACUGAGUCCUGCUCUGAAAAGCUGGCUGCUCCUGUGAUCUGCAGAUUCACUGAGCCAGCAACAUAGGGGCAGAGCUGUUUGUUACCCUUAGAGACUCAGUUGCACAGUGUGCAAGUACCUCAUAGCUGGCUCAGCAAAUCAGUCCUUGCAGCGCACCUGUGAGAUGGUUGUCUGGGUUAAUGUAACAUCAGAGAUGAGCAGCUCAUUCUGGAGCCAGAAUACAGGUCUUUCUCUCAUUGUAAAGAGCAUGGCGUUCAGUUUUGGCAGAUAAAGGUUAAAUAUGCUCCACUGUUUGGAAGCUGGACCUUAAAUCAAGGCGUACGUUUUUAAUUGAAGGGAGAAAAAGGUGUUAAAACAACCCAGUGGUGUGGUGCUUUCUGACCACUUUGUUCACUGUACACUUCAGCUGCUAUUCUCUGGUACAGCCUUUCAGUAUGUUAGCAUUGCUCACCUGGCCACCUUGUGCCCUAUGUAUUAACAGUGAUUGCAGGCUUAGUCACCUAGUUUGUAGGAGACACAAGUUGUGCUCAUUGCAAGGCACUGAAAUUGACCUGCCUCAUAGGAGGUUGGACAAGAUAGUCAUAACAGCACUUUUCUGUCUUGGAAGUCUGUGAAUUCUUGGUGGGCUACAAAUGAAGCUAUAUUUGCAUAGUUCAGUGGUGCUAAACUCGUUUAGUUUUCCAAGCUGCAAGUCAGUAUUCAAGUGAAGAAGGUACUAAUCACUGCUGUAAGAGCAUAUUCCACUCCUGUUUUCAUGGUUUCUUCAAAACUUAUUUUGGGGAAAUGCAUUUCUUCUCUUAAUUUCUCAGCUAUUUGGAGAAAAACAGACAAGCUUUUGGCACACAGUUCUACAUCAAAUCUAAAUUUUGCCAAGCUUUAUUUAUAAGAACCAUGUCUACUGUAGAGACAAUCUGUUCCUGACAAACCCCUAGAAUAGAAAAUUUCAACCAAUUAUUUUUGUAAUGAAUGUACAAUAAAUCUGUUGAAAAGCUA